UGCACGGAUACGCGCCACUGUACUACGACCCAACCAUGAUGGCCAACUCGGCCAUGGCGGCUCAGCUUCAGCCCGGCUCGGCCGCCGCCGCCGCCGCUGCCGCCGCUGCUGCCGCCGCCCAGGCCGCCAUGCUCAAGGCCACACCCGUCUCGAUGUCGCAGCAGGCGGCCGGCGCCGCCGCCUAUAACGCGGCCGCGGCGCGCGCCUACACGGCCGCGAUGA
Molecule: long non-coding RNA, 222 nt
Organism: Pollicipes pollicipes
Lineage: Eukaryota; Metazoa; Arthropoda; Thecostraca; Pollicipedomorpha; Pollicipedidae
Exons: 3
Source: RefSeq, a predicted model, not a curated record